CGGGGCGUAGCUCAGUCUGGUAGAGUGUCUGCUUUGGGAGCAGAAAGUCGUUGGUUCGAAUCCAGCCGCCCCGACCA
Molecule: transfer RNA, 77 nt
Filed under: Rhodospirillaceae bacterium
Lineage: Bacteria; Pseudomonadati; Pseudomonadota; Alphaproteobacteria; Rhodospirillales; Rhodospirillaceae
Also listed under: 1 other name
Description: tRNA-Pro
Rfam family: tRNA
About the family: Transfer RNA (tRNA) molecules are approximately 80 nucleotides in length.
Source: RNAcentral